CCUACGGGAGGCAGCAGUGAGGAAUAUUGGUCAAUGGUCGGGAGACUGAACCAGCCAAGCCGCGUGAGGGAGGAAGGUACAGAGUAUCGUAAACCUCUUUUGUCAGGGAACAAAGGCGAGGACGUGUCCCCGGAUGAGUGUACCUGAAGAAAAAGCAUCGGCUAACUCCGUGCCAGCAGCCGCGGUAAUACGGAGGAUGCGAGCGUUAUCCGGAUUUAUUGGGUUUAAAGGGUGCGCAGGCGGUCUGUUAAGUCAGCGGUAAAAGCCCGGGGCGCAACCCCGGCCCGCCGUUGACACUGGCAGUCUCGAGUUGGAGAGAAGUAUGCGGAAUGCGCGGUGUAGCGGUGAAAUGCAUAGAUAUCGCGCAGAACUCCGAUUGCGAAGGCAGCAUGCCGGCUCCACACUGACGCUGAGGCACGAAAGCGUGGGGAUCGAACAGGAUUAGAUACCCUAGUAGUC
Molecule: ribosomal RNA, 459 nt
Filed under: uncultured bacterium
Lineage: Bacteria
Description: partial 16S ribosomal RNA
Rfam family: Bacterial small subunit ribosomal RNA
Source: RNAcentral